CUUCUACAUUGUUUUUGUUUAGCUUAGUCGCUUUGAAAACUGUGGAGGAGCAACAUGUCAUGAAUAUGUUAGGAAUAUUAUGAACAAGGUUAUGUCAAAUGGCGUCAUGAGCGAAUACAAUUUGAACGGGAAGUUCAAUAAGCUGUCUUUUCGAAAA
This is a long non-coding RNA of Hydra vulgaris (swiftwater hydra), 157 nucleotides long. RefSeq lists it as uncharacterized. The record is from RefSeq and is a predicted model, not a curated record. Lineage: Eukaryota; Metazoa; Cnidaria; Hydrozoa; Anthoathecata; Hydridae.